Molecule: ribosomal RNA, 496 nt
Filed under: uncultured bacterium
Lineage: Bacteria
Description: partial 16S ribosomal RNA
Rfam family: Bacterial small subunit ribosomal RNA
Source: RNAcentral
AUUGAACGCUGGCGGAAUGCUUUACACAUGCAAGUCGAACGGUAGAGGGGGCAACCCCUCGAGAGUGGCGAACGGGUGAGUAAUAUAUCGGAACGUGCCCAGUCGUGGGGGAUAACGUAGCGAAAGUUACGCUAAUACCGCAUACGAUCUAAGGAUGAAAGCGGGGGAUCGCAAGACCUCGCGCGAUUGGAGCGGCCGAUAUCAGAUUAGGUUGUUGGUGAGGUAAAAGCUCACCAAGCCUGCGAUCUGUAGCUGGUCUGAGAGGACGACCAGCCACACUGGAACUGAGACACGGUCCAGACUCCUACGGGAGGCAGCAGUGGGGAAUUUUGGACAAUGGACGCGAGUCUGAUCCAGCAAUGCCGCGUGCAGGACGAAGGCCUUCGGGUUGUAAACUGCUUUUGUACGGAACGAAACGGUGAGCUCUAAUACAGUUUGCUAAUGACGGUACCGUAAGAAUAAGCACCGGCUAACUACGUGCCAGCCGCCGCCGUAA